RNAcentral lists this ribosomal RNA (253 nucleotides) under uncultured bacterium. Its description in RNAcentral is "partial 16S ribosomal RNA". It matches the Rfam family "Bacterial small subunit ribosomal RNA", at positions 524 to 776 of the family's 1533-position model. The record is from RNAcentral.
UACGUAGGGUGCGAGCGUUAAUCGGAAUUACUGGGCGUAAAGCGUGCGCAGGCGGUUGUGCAAGACCGAUGUGAAAUCCCCGGGCUCAACCUGGGAACUGCAUUUGUGACUGCAUGGCUAGAGUGCGGCAGAGGGGGAUGGAAUUCCGCGUGUAGCAGUGAAAUGCGUAGAUAUGCGGAGGAACACCGAUGGCGAAGGCAAUCCCCUGGGCCUGCACUGACGCUCAUGCACGAAAGCGUGGGGAGCAAACAGG